Molecule: ribosomal RNA, 497 nt
Filed under: uncultured bacterium
Lineage: Bacteria
Description: partial 16S ribosomal RNA
Rfam family: Bacterial small subunit ribosomal RNA
Source: RNAcentral
GAUGAACGCUGGCGGCGUGCUUAACACAUGCAAGUCGAACGAAGCACUCUAGUUGAUUUUUUUCGGAAAUGAAGAUUUUGCGACUGAGUGGCGGACGGGUGAGUAAGGCGGGGGUAACCUGCCUCAUACAGGGGGAUAACAGCUGGAAACGACUGCUAAUACCGCAUAAGCGCACAGUACUGCAUGGUACAGUGGGAAAAACUCCGGUGGUAUGAGAUGGACCCGAGUCUGAUUAGCUAGUUGGUGGGGUAACGGCCUACCAAGGCGACGAUCAGUAGCCGACCUGAGAGGGUGACCGGCCACAUUGGGACUGAGACACGGCCCAAACUACUACGGGAAGCAGCAGUGGGGAAUAUUGCACAAUGGGGGAAACCCUGCUGCAGCGACGCCGCGUGAACGAAGAAGUAUUUCGGUAUGUAAAGUUCUAUCAGCAGGGAAGAUAAUGACGGUACCUGACUAAGAAGCACCGGCUAAAUACGUGCCAGCAGCCGCCGUAA